ACGGUUAUAAAUCAACAUAUUGAUUUAUAAGCAUGGAAAUCCCCUGAGUGAAACAACGAAUUGCUGUGUGUAGUCUUUGCCCAUCUCCCACGAUG
RNAcentral lists this non-coding RNA (95 nucleotides) under Escherichia coli. RNAcentral's name for it is "partial antisense sRNA RprA". It matches the Rfam family "RprA RNA", at positions 1 to 95 of the family's 108-position model. Rfam says of the family: Translational regulation of the stationary phase sigma factor RpoS is mediated by the formation of a double-stranded RNA stem-loop structure in the upstream region of the rpoS messenger RNA, occluding the translation initiation site. Lineage: Bacteria; Pseudomonadati; Pseudomonadota; Gammaproteobacteria; Enterobacterales; Enterobacteriaceae. The record is from RNAcentral.